UACGUAGGGGGCAAGCGUUGUCCGGAUUUAUUGGGCGUAAAGAGCGUGUAGGCGGCUAGGUAGGUCCGUUGUGAAAACUCGAGGCUCAACCUCGAGACGCCGGUGGAAACCAUCUAGCUAGAGUCCGGAAGGGGAGAGUGGAAUUCCUGGUGUAGCGGUGAAAUGCGCAGAUAUCAGGAAGAACACCCGUGGCGAAGGCGGCUCUCUGGGACGUGACUGACGCUGAGACGCGAAAGCGUGGGGAGCGAACAGG
RNAcentral lists this ribosomal RNA (253 nucleotides) under uncultured bacterium. RNAcentral's name for it is "partial 16S ribosomal RNA". It matches the Rfam family "Bacterial small subunit ribosomal RNA", at positions 524 to 776 of the family's 1533-position model. The record is from RNAcentral.